AUGCCAGACAACAGCACAGACAAAAAAUCACCGCAAAAUCAAGGCAUAGAAGAGCUUGAACUAGACCAAGAGCCAUGGUGGCAUGCACUCAGCAUGUGAGGUGUAUCCAGGGGGUACUGUGGCAUGCACUCAGCAUGUGAGGUGUAUCCGUCAACUCGACACAGACCAUUUGGGAAGAAGAAACAUCAACUGAGAAAAUACCUGACCAGAUUAGCUGAUGAGCAAGCCUGUGAUAUACUAGCACAUUAAAGGUGGUGCUGCCCCUGGGGAAGUGGUUCUGGAUGGUGUAAGAAAGCAGAUUGAGCAAGACAUGGAGAGGAAGCCAGUAAGCAGCACUCCUCUAUGGCCUCUGCAUCAGUUUCUGCCUUGAGUUCCUGCCACGAUUUCCCCAGAUGAUUGACAAGCUAUAAGCUGAAAUAAAACCCUUUACUCCCCA
This is a long non-coding RNA of Mastomys coucha (southern multimammate mouse), 436 nucleotides long. RefSeq lists it as uncharacterized. The transcript has 2 exons. NCBI's taxonomy places the organism in Eukaryota, Metazoa, Chordata, Mammalia, Rodentia, Muridae. The record is from RefSeq and is a predicted model, not a curated record.